UGCCUAAUGGCCAAGUGGCUAAGGCUGUGGCGCUGAGUUCCACAGGUUUCUCGGGUUCGAAUCCCGGUGGUAU
This is a non-coding RNA of Caerostris darwini, 73 nucleotides long. Lineage: Eukaryota; Metazoa; Arthropoda; Arachnida; Araneae; Araneidae. The record is from the annotation of a GenBank genome assembly.